CCGCCACCGCCCCAAAAUGGCGCAGGCGGGGGGUGAAGGGCACCGGCGGGAGGGGGCGGGGGGAGCCGGCGGCGCCACUCACCUGCCGAGCCGUAGAAUCGUCAGGGUUGGAAGACACCUUUAAGAUCAAGUCCAAGCGUCAGCCGAGCCCUGCCACUGUAACCCCUAAAGCACCAAACCGCAUCGCCCAGCGCCAGGUCCAGACGCCUCUUAAACACCUCCAGGGAUGGCACGGCAGAAGGGACCGGCCACCACCGCACUGCAACCUGCCUUCAGGUAGUUGCAUUGUUCUCCAGAAACACCGAUUGGUGAUGAUGUUUGCACGGAAGGUUGGCACAUGCUCUAGGGGUCAGUUAUUUCCACAUAUUACACCAAAAUUGAUGGGGUGUUCCUGCACUGAACUGAACUGAAACCAACCUCCAAAGCCUGGAUGCCACCUGUGUGCUACCUUUUUUGCCACAAGUUGUCCCGAUCGUUAUUAUACAUGAGGCUUUGCAGGAUGAGCACCUUGCUGUUAAAAGCACAGUCACUUAUGCCGGCCUGCGUGGUGCUUUCAUGUCAGAAUGGGGGUUGUAUGAGUGGUGUGGAAAAUGCAGGGGUGAAUACAGAUUCAUUGGUAGCCUGCAGUGCAUCACUCGGUGCUUCUCCCAACUUUCCCUCUCAGGGUCAGCUUCCAGUCGUGGCCACACACCCAAUGCGUGGCAGAAGAAUAAAUGCAGCUCAAUUCAAUUCUUUUGUCUUUUUUCAACCAAGUUACAAAAUAAUUACCCUCUCUCCCUUUACUUCAUUUUUGUCUUAAAUAAAUCACUAUUAGAUUUAGCAGUUUUCUGAUUUUCAUAGGAGUUUGAUCAUUGUUGUGCAACAUCAGGUUAGAUUAUCCUUGUUGUUUUAAUGCUCCUAAUAAUGAUUUUCUAGGUUCAUGAACAACAGAGCUCACUAUUUGUAGUGGUCAUUAUCUCUCUGAUUUGUGGUCACUUUCCGUGCAGAUGUUCCUGUGUACAGCUAUUUUGGUUGCUGUAUAAAUCAAAUUAUUUUGUCAAUGUAUCGACUGCACUGAGACUAAUCUGAAAUUUCUUGCAUAUGUUUCUUUUUUUGUCUUCUAAUGUACUUCCACGUCAUCACUAAGAAGGUUUAUUGUCUUGUCCUGUGGUAGUAAGAAUCCCAGCAGUCUGGCUAAAAGGAACAGACUGAGCAAUUACAAAACUCACUAAAAAGUAAGUGAGGCAGCACUUACAUUGCAGAAUGCUUACCAUCAGUUCUGAUAACACAAGUGGCAAAAAAUGUUUGGUGGGGCUGAAAACUGUGGUUUUAAAAGUAUGUUUGCAAAGCUAUCAUAAAAAGUAGGCAAGGAAAUGUAUUUUAUUAGCUGACUUUGAAAAUAUUUGUAUAACUCUGUUUGCAUCACUGUAUAUGUCCAUAUAUUUCUGCUUUUUUCAGAACGAUCUUGAGGUCAUUCAGAGCUCCUGGGAACUUAAGCUAUAUUUUUCUAUGUGCCAUAAAUCCAAAAUAAUUAACCGAAGUCAGUGCGGUUCCUGGGGAUUUGUGCUACUGUAAAUGAGAACAGAAUGGUCGUCUGACAACUCUACAUUUUGUUUCACAUAUCCCUGGAUACCCUUGUUGUGUGCAACAAGACAUGGAGAUACGAGCAGCGGGAUUUUAAAUGGAUCUACAUUUAUAAUUCCAGUUAAAAUCGAGAGGAAAGGAGUGGAAAACAAACAGAACCUUUUUCUCUUCUGUGCCAUGCUCACACCAAAACAACUGUCCAUCAGCUCUACUUCCUUCAAGUCCAGGAACACCGUGGUUAUGGGAGUGCUUAAAAAGCCUGCAAUUUUACUGUCAGAGGAUGCCGUUGACAUUCCUAGACAUGAAAAUACUUAAGAUUGCUGUAUGCUGUUUUUUGGUUUGUUUUUUUUUCACUCUAUAAAUGUCAUUCUGAACUGUGCUGCCUGUAUCAAAUAGCUCCUGGAACAUCCCUCCUAAUCAGUUCCUUUUGGGAGCAGGAUCGUCGGGCUCGUUCUGAAGCCGUGCCAGUGCCGGCAGUGCUUGGGGACUACAGAUGAGAUCUUUGUUACAGAAGCAUGAGAUCAAUUCACCAUUCCGGGCCAUGUAGUAAAUGCAUUCCUGACUGAACGUUACAUCGUUUUUAUUUUCCUGGGACAGCAUUGCACUGUGUCUCCUCUCUGAAAGAGCUAUGUUCAUUAGAUACAGGAAGUCCUGCUAAUCAUCCAUAACAUUACAUUAACAGCUGCUGGUGCGUCUUUGAAUGCCCAGUGAUGAGGGGAGAGUUUGCAAGAGAUUUGGCGCUUCUUUGCUGUGAUUGUUUUCUUCAGCAUGCUUUGGAAUCCGAAGUUCUGUAAAAAAAAAAGGCAGUUAAUCCUUAGGGUUGUGAGGAAAACUUUUAAAACAUGCACCAGAUGGAAAUCAAUGCAGUAGUGUCUUGCAAGCAGACAGAUAGGCUGAGAAGAAAUCUGAAGUCUGAUAUUAUUUGGAUUGAAGGAAAAAGAGCUGCAAAGCAGUCAUGCAGCUUAGAUAUCAUCGAUACAGAAUAUGCAAGUCUGCAGUGAGCUCUGUCUCAUUUCACAUCGUUGACAGCUUUGUUUUUGUCAGUGACUCAAGAUAAACCCGAUUUUCUCUCCUGUUGAUUUGUGCUCCCUUUCUUUUGUAUAGACAACUUCCUUUGGCACAUGAUAGCUGACUCAGGAACAGAGCUGACCGGAAAAAAAAGAUUUCCAGUCUAUAGACAAUAAAUUUAUACUUCUGCCCUUGUUUUAUGCACAUUUUUUUACAAAAAGAAAAAAAAAAGAGAGAGCAAAGAACAUGAUUAAUGAAUGGCGAGAUGUUUGAUUUGAACUGUUUUGACAUGUCUGAAACCCUUAUGUUGGAGUGGAUAAGCCUGGUGCCUGCUUUAUGUGUAGUGAAGUCUUCAGGAGUCUGUCCUGGGUGCCAGUGGUUACUCCUCAGCCCCAGCUUGGGAUCUCUGACACUUCUCUGUAGAUGAGAUAUAGCAGGAUUUCUGCACAUAAUUCUCCAGAACAAUCCAUUGUUCGUGUCACCAGGAGUCCUGCUUGUCCAGCUCCAGUCCAGUUUAUGGGACAAACUUUCUGCUGACAGUGUUGCUGCUUUUGGUAGAGGAAAUAUUAAUCCAACAUCCUCCUGGUCAUAGCAAAAUAAAUGGUAAAAUAAAUCCCAAGGUGGUUUACAGUGUUUAGGAGGAAAAAUACAUAGUAAAUCACAUCUUGUGCUCUUGAAUCCAAAUGAUUCCCCAAUGUCAGCAAUGAACAGGGGAUGUGAUUUCAGGGAGCUGGAUAUUCCAUGUGCCACAGAGGCGACGUGGGCCAAAAGCACAUGAAAGCACAUUCAUUCCUGGUCCUUCCAACACAGAAAAAUGCCCAUAACCAUAACAACCUGCUAAGGAGUGAGAGCUCUGCCAAAUGGAUAGCACAGAGCUGAUAGCAGCUGCUGGCUAAAACAGGUAGGCAGCUGGUAUCCAUGGAUGCCAUGGAGGGGAACUGCCCUAAGAGAUGGCAAAGGUAAAACGGUAAUAAUCAAAGAAAUGCCCAUCUGAUGAGUGUAGAUAUUUGCAUGCAGCACCUUCCAGCACACCUAGGUAGGUGCCUCACAGCUCUAGGUUGUUGAUACUCUGCAAGACCAUACAUGGUACCAUUUGCUUUAAUAGUAGCAAUUAGUGGGCCAGUACAAUAAACAGUGAUUUUAUGAAAAUGAGGACUGAUCCAUUCACAGAUGGAUCCGAGACAAAGAUUGAAUGCCAUGCUUGUCAUCAGUCAAUGCACUCCUCAAGGUGUUCAGUGUCCAGUGUAUGUUUUGCCAGAUAUUGUUAUGAGAUCCUUACAACAAACCAUUUAUUUUUGCACUUUAGCUGCAUUGCACAGGUAGCCUGGGCUGUCAGUAAUACCUGCUGUAUGUUCUAGUGCAGGCAGGCAGAAGAGCAGGUCCCAGAAUGUGCUCACAAAAAAUCAUUUUGUCCCUCAUUUUUGCUUGAUUCACCCUUGCAGGGAGAUGCCAUAUGGCAUUGCAAUAGGCAGAGUUAGCAGUAGGAAGCUACAGAAAGGCAGCUUUAAAAGAGAAAUUCAUUCACCAUUGGAGUACAACUUCCAAGGUAAACCGUCUCAUGGUGGCUGAUAGUUAACUUGCUAUUUUUUGGAAGUUCAUAGACAAGUUGAUAGAUUCUACCAAGUCUCAGCUGUGAUACAAGGCAAGUGGGGGUUUAUCUGGGGAGAAGUGCAUGGCAGAAAACACAUUGGUUCCAGUCCUCCACUAUCUCCUGUCUCCUCUUCCCUGGUGUCCCUCCUGUGUUCCCAGCAGGGAGUCUCAGGAAGACAAACUUCAGGCACCUUUUGUACCUGCAGCUCGGUGACAACAGGGCUGCUCCCUUGGUAUUCGAGGUGAUGUAGGGGAAAGAGGACUUAGGUUUCAUGUUUCUGCCUCUUCACCCUUCCUUUUACCCUCACCUCCCUUGAUUUUGGGAGUUCCGUGCUGCUGCGAGACAAGGAUGGGAGAUCUGGCUUUGAAGAAGAUGAAUCCUAGAACAGAACAGGAGCCUUCAGGCUGUUCUUUCUGCCUGGUCACAGGGAAUACAGUCAGUCUCUGCUGUCACCAGAUGCUACAUCCAGACAGGACAAGAUGUUUGAAGCCCUUGAGUGUUGUUAGUGUCUCCUGUCAGCCAACAGCACAAAAAAUGUAGCACUCGAGCUCCAAGUCCUGAAAAUUGGCCUUGAUUUAAUGAGAUUUCACAAUAAAUAAGCAUUUCAGUUUCCCUGCACUAUGAGUCUUUAAGGAUUUUGAGCUUUUCUGUGCAAACUUGGAGGCUUGAAAUGAAUUAUUAAGGUGAAAGAUAAGUCUUUCUUAUGAUUAUGAUUUCUUGUCUUUGUAUACUUAGGCACCCAUUCCUGUAGGAUAAAGAAACAUAUCAGAAGACUUGUUUUGAUAUCCUUGAAUCUGGAAACAGCUGUUUUUUUUAAAGCUGGAUGCUGUCGUACCAGAGAAUGGGACUGCUGUGAAUCCUGGGUUUAGCUGCAGAAGUAAUUUUAGCAGGCGCCCACAUGUGUUUAAUAAAGCCAGAUUUCCACCUUUCCAACUGCAGAUUUAGUCACAGCAGCGUAUUUUGUAGUUCCCACUCAAGCUGAGCUUUAUGUGAUAGUAAUGGCAAUGUUACUGAAGCAGGAAGAGUCGAAUCAAACACCAUUGCAAUCAAUCUCACAGUUGCCAGCUAGCAAACUGAGCAGGAGAGUGUUAAAUCUCCUCCAGCAAUGCUGUAUGGGAGACCUCCAAUCAUCUUUACCAAGUAAAGUGGAUCCUCCAAAUUAGGUCAUCUGUUUGCUUCAUUCUGAAAGAUUUUUAUUAAAAUGAAAAAAUGUUUUCUGUUUCUUGUCCCAGAGAGAAAACAAACAUUGGCAUCUAGAGUGGUGGAAGACAAACACUUGGUGCUGGGCAACUUGAUUAAAGUGUAUUCCUUGUAAUGAGCGGUGCCUCCCUUAUCCUGCCAUUGUGUUCAGACAAGGAAAAAAAAAAGGAGGGCCUGCCCUUUCCCAUUGUAUAGUCACAUUUUCCAAGUGCAGUAAAAAUGGGUUUUAUAAAAAGCCCUAAAAAAUAAAAAAAAAAAAAAAAGAAAAAAACGAACUCUGUCUUUUAGUAAACCACUGAAGCAACUCUUCAACGAAAACAAUCUUGUGCACCUUGUAUAUAGGAGAACUCCUGAAGUUAGUGCUCUGUCUAACCUACCAGAGAAGGAAGAUAAUACUGAUAAAAAAAGGUUUGGGAUAAGUGUUGUCUGAGCCUUCCUUAAAGGCUUGCUACUAGAAUCAAAGCUGAAUUUUAUUUGGGGAAGGUAAUAAAGGAAAAAGUGAUUUGCAGCAGAAGACUGUGUUUGUACUGUUAUAUUUUAAUCACUGCUAUCACCAAUACCAACAUCUACAUUUAUCUACCCAUGUACAUUAACCAGCAG
This is a long non-coding RNA of Lepidothrix coronata (blue-crowned manakin), 5962 nucleotides long. RefSeq lists it as uncharacterized. The record is from RefSeq and is a predicted model, not a curated record. The transcript is spliced from 5 exons. Lineage: Eukaryota; Metazoa; Chordata; Aves; Passeriformes; Pipridae.